AGGAAUAUUUCUCCACAGAGUAUGAAGGUCAAAUGAGAGAAUACAUUUAAAUUAAAUGGAAAAUUUAAAUGGCAAAAAAGGCAAAGCUGUAUUGAAAGUUCUGAGCUUCUCUAUAAGGAGCUUUUUGACUAUGUAAGAAUCCUAUACUCGUUCCCCCUAAAUAUAAAAAAAAAAGUUGAAGGAGGCAGAAGGGAGAGUGAUGCACGAUGGGCGAGGACUUCACCUGCUGUUGCUGGCUUUGAGGAUGGAGGAAGGAGGCCACAAACCCAGAAGCUGGAGCCCCUAGAAGCUAGAAAACGCAGGGACCUGAUUCAUCCCUUGAGCCUCCAGAAGGGACAUAGCCCCACCAGCACCUUGACUUUAGCCCAGUGAGAUCCUCUUAGGACUUUUGGCAACCAGAACUAUAAGACGGAAAUGGAAGCCACUGAGUCUGUAGCUGUUUGCUGCAGCAGCAAUAGAAAACUAAUGCAGAGCCCAAGAAAUCACUGGUGAUGAGAUGGGGAAGUGGGCUCAGGAGGUCUGGAUCUGUGAUGAGAUGGGGAAAGUGGGGGAGGUCUGGAUCUGUGAUGAGAUGGGGAAAGUGGGCUCAGGAGGUCUGGAUCUGUGAUGAGAUGGGGAAAGUGGGCUCAGGAGGUCUGGAUCUGAGUUGGGGAUCUGGAGUGGAAGGGGAAUUCAUUUGUUCAUUGUCUAUCCUUUUGCAUUGAUUCAGUUUUUUUUCCAUAUAUAUAUAUGUGAAUUUCACAAUAAAAGUUUUUUCCAAAAUAAAAGAAACAAAAGGGGCUUUUUGCAACUCAAUUCCUAUCUAUGUCUGAGUCCACUUGUAUUGAAUGAGUCUUUCUGCUAACGUCCUUAUAUUUGGGUGACAAUCUGAAUGUCAGUGACCAAUCAGAGCAGAGGCAGACCUUGGAGUGGGCAGGGCAUCCUGAGGGCCCUGAUUCCUGCCAUGAGGCAUAACCCUUUAGAUGCCAGACCAUGGGGAGGUCCAGGGGUUGCAGGGGAGGGCUGUGCAUCUGCAAUGACUCUCAGGGGGCUCCCGGUGGUGGCAAUUGGUGAAUCUGCACGGCAGUGUUUCAAUAUUGUCACAGCCCUGCUGUCUCUCAUGCUCUCAAAAAGCAUUUCUCUUACCUGUGACAGACUUCCUAUACCUAACAGCUUGCAAAAAUGUUCCAGGUUAACGAGAAUAAUCUCUCGGAGCCAUACCUCCCUGCUUGGGGUCUCAGUUUCCCCAACUGUCUCCAGACAAGUUAGGCUAGAAGGCCCCUGAGCCUCAGCCCCUCUAUACCCCUCCUGUCACCCAGACCUGAUCUGGGGCUUGCACCCUGGGUGCAGCAUGACAGGGGUGGGCAGGGUCUGGCUCUGGGCCAGAGGACCCUUUCUGAUGGACUUCAGCUGUUGGCCUUCCAGGGGAGACUGAUCAACCUCACAAGAGUCAUACGGUGAGUAGCGGUGGGCAAAUCCAUCCCCCUCAUCUUAGAUUUAUGGGGAGACAGAGAGAAAGAGGAGACACUCCAGGAAGACCUGCAGGUGGGAGUACCAGGUUGAAACCAAGGACACCUUCCUGGAGGAGCUGCUGUUUGAGCCAGCUCUGAGAACAGGUGGGGACAGGACUGGAGAGGAGAAGGGUGUCCCCUAUGAGCAAAGACUGGCCACCACCCAAUCUAACACCCCCACAGGGCCCCUGUGGCAUCCCUGUCCAGUCCCUGUCACCACCCAGUUUUUCCCUCUGGACCCAGGAAUUCAAAGUAAGCAAGGAGGUCCGCUGCUCCAGUUGGCUGCAUAUAAUUACAACCUUGAGCCCAAGCAGCACUUUGGGUCCUGGUUUGGGACCAUGAAGCGGCUCGGUGAGACUGAGAGGUAAGGCCAGGGCAGGAAUUGGGAUAGUGGGAUUGAACUCUCCCUGGGGGCCAGCCUCAGAAAGCCUGUGGCCAUGGCCUCUUGGUCAACAUCAGAUCCUGUGGUCUGGCAAUGCCUGGGGUACCCAGACCUCACUCUGGACAGGCCCUGGGAGGGGGCCCUGGUGAGAUUCCUGGCAGCCUCACAGCCACUCUUCUGUCCAUAGCUACAACAUGUCAUGCCAGCUGGAGGCUCCAUCCCAGUUGGCUGGGAGCACAAAGGCCAGGAAGAUAGACAUCACCCACCACAGGAGCCAGUCGGGUCCUGAACCAGGGCGGGCAGAGGUUGGCUGCCUUGGGAUAUGGGUGGGCUCAGGGAGUCAGACAGCAAGGGACUAGCCUCCCAUCCUACUGCUGACCAGCCCUGUGACUGGGGAGAGUCACCUUACUUCUCUGGGCCUCAGUUUCCCCCUCUGUGGAGUGACACUAAAUGAUCUCUCUGGAGACUGGGAUCAAUAGGGCACUGGUGAUUGACCAGGCACUCAGCACAUGCCUGGAGCACACGGUGCAGGGCUGUGGUGGGGAGGUGGCCUGAGUUCCUGGGGAGUCACCCAUGUGUGCCUGCCGUUCUGACCAGCCACCAGGCACUCAGGGCAGAGCCCACUACCAGCAGCAGCUCACACCCCGAUACCAGCUCAGAGGCGGCCCCUAGCUCAGCAGCAGGGACAUCACGGACACUUUAAGCUGCUACUAGGGUGGCUUCUCCAGCUCCCACGUGGAGAGGGGUCCCAGCUGAGUCCCACUCACGUGGAGUCUCAUGCCCAUGAAA
Molecule: long non-coding RNA, 2661 nt
Filed under: Homo sapiens (human)
Lineage: Eukaryota; Metazoa; Chordata; Mammalia; Primates; Hominidae
Description: HSALNT0379675
Source: RNAcentral